GAUCAUUACUUCCGUUUGCCAGUUGUGCGGGGGAACGUCGCCAUCGAGGUGUCUCCACUUCAUGUCCACGAUCAGAGAAUCUUUGUACAAUGAAGGAAUUGUUUAGACCAGGACAGAGGCCUCCAGAAUUCAAAGUUCAAGCAUUAAAUGACAGAGAGAAGAGACAGAAAUGAAGAUGUUUCCAGAAGUCCAGGUGCAGUAAAAGAACAGAAGGAAUCCCUUUUGUAAAUGAGACACAGUGAAAUCAACAGUGCUGCGUUUUGGGGAAUUCAUUUAUAUGGUGUGUCUGUGAUCACACAGAGUGUUUGAGAGGCGUGCAUGUAAUUCACAUCAAGUGUGCAAGAGAGAGUACUGAGAUUGCUUAUGUUUAGUAUUAAUUGGAUUAAAAGUAAUAGUAUAAGUUUUGUAUGUGUUUUCAAAUUGAUAUUACAAAAGUGAUCUUGUAGAAAUGUCAAAUGUUGUCUAGUUAAUAAAAUUAAAGACAGUGUGUAAAUAUUGUCACAGUGUUUUGUUUAAUCAAUGUUAUUUAGUAUUAUUUUUGUUUCAUGUGUAUUUGUUUGCGUUAGUCAAAGUAUGUGAGUUUUUUUAUAUGUAUGGUCUGUUGUUAUUGUAUUCUGCCUACUGUCUUGUUGCAAGUGUCUUAUGUGAUCUUCCCAACUGUUUUAAUGUGUU
Long non-coding RNA from Lates calcarifer (barramundi perch), 672 nucleotides. RefSeq lists it as uncharacterized. The transcript has 5 exons. The record is from RefSeq and is a predicted model, not a curated record. NCBI's taxonomy places the organism in Eukaryota, Metazoa, Chordata, Actinopteri, Centropomidae.